This 497-nucleotide ribosomal RNA is filed under the name uncultured bacterium. RNAcentral's name for it is "partial 16S ribosomal RNA". It matches the Rfam family "Bacterial small subunit ribosomal RNA", at positions 28 to 507 of the family's 1533-position model. The record is from RNAcentral.
GAUGAACGCUGGCGGCGCGCCUAAUACAUGCAAGUCGAGCGAACGGACGAGAAGCUUGCUUCUCUGAUGUUAGCGGCGGACGGGUGAGUAACACGUGGAUAACCUACCUAUAAGACUGGGAUAACUUCGGGAAACCGGAGCUAAUACCGGAUGAUAUUUUGAACCGCAUGGUUCAAAAGUGAAAGACGGUCUUGCUGUCACUUAUAGAUGGAUCCGCGCUGCAUUAGCUAGUUGGUAAGGUAACGGCUUACCAAGGCAACGAUGCAUAGCCGACCUGAGAGGGUGAUCGGGCACACUGGAACUGAGACACGGUCCAGACUCCUACGGGAGGCAGCAGUAGGGAAUCUUGCGCAAUGGGCGAAAGCCUGACGGAGCAACGCCGCGUGAGUGAUGAAGGUCUUCGGAUCGUAAAACUCUGUUAUUAGGGAAGAACAUAUGUGUAAGUAACUGUGCACAUCUUGACGGUACCUAAUCAGAAAGCCACGGCUAACUACGUG